This 455-nucleotide ribosomal RNA is filed under the name uncultured bacterium. RNAcentral's name for it is "bacterial SSU rRNA". It matches the Rfam family "Bacterial small subunit ribosomal RNA", at positions 1 to 507 of the family's 1533-position model. The record is from RNAcentral.
GUCACGAGUUUGAUCCUGGCUCAGACAACGCUGGCGCAUGCCUAANACAUGCAAGUCGAACGAGACCUUCGGGUCUAGUGGCGCACGGGUGCGUAACACGUGGGAAUUUGCCUCGGGGUAUGGAAUAACUCAGGGAAACUUGAGCUAAUACCAUAUAAUGUCUUCGGACCAAAGAUUUAUCGCCCUGAGAUAAGCCCGCGUAGGAUUAGCUAGUUGGUGGGGUAAAGGCUCACCCAAGGCGACGANCCUUAGCUGGUCUGAGAGGAUGAUCAGCCACACUGGGACUGAGACACGGCCCAGACUCCUACGGGAGGCAGCAGUGGGGAAUAUUGGACAAUGGGCGAAAGCCUGAUCCAGCAAUGCCGCGUGAGUGAUGAAGGCCUUCGGGUUGUAAAGCUCUUUUACUCGGGACGAUAAUGACGGUACCGAGAGAAUAAGCCCCGGCUAACUACGUG